UGUGCAAAUAUGAGCACAGUCCCUCCACAAUGAAAAAAGAAAAACAGAUAUAGCUUUUAUUUUGAAAAGCAUCCAAGGAGUGUUGAUUCAUAACCCCCAAUUUCCACCGCAUCCGGAAUGGCUACGAAAAGGCCGUAUCUGCCGAUCGCAGCUGAUCAUAACCAUUCAAGAUAACGUGUCAAUUUCCACCAUCCUGAGGAUCGCCGGACUCCACAGCUGAUCGCAAGACUUCUCUUUUUUUUUCGGCUGCUGGAGCAUGCCAGAUAAAUUCAGCUUUCCUGGAAAGGAAGUCGGGCACAGACACAAAAUAAAACCGGCUUCUUUUCAAAAUAAUGCAAAAAAAAAAUGCAAACAGGCGGGGACAAACAAGUGAAGAGUUUAUGGACAGCAUUUCAUCCCAAUGACACAAUGGAUGAGGAGAUGCUGAUGUUAGAAGUCUAGAAGUAGAUUUCCUUCUCCGGAAGGACACAAUCUACCGCUUAUACGGUUAGCCUAUGUGGCUAAAGACAACUUGUUAUCGUGGGAUUGCACGUGAAUCCGCAAGUUCUUAUGAGUUCUUGUGAGUUCUCAUGAGUUCUCACAAUUCCUGCUGUCCCUAAUCCGCCACGAAAUUCACCUCACAAACGGAUCCAGUAGGAAUUGGCAUACAGCGAAAAUUGCCACCAUUCUGCUUUGUGUUGGAAAUCCCGGGUAAGUCAUGUAGCUGAUUCAAAACAUAUGUGGCCCCUAAUUUUAGCGUUUUUUAAUCUAUUUGGCCAAGAUUCAUACACAGUUUGUCAAAAAAGUAAACAAGCCUUCCAUUAUCCAGGUUUUCAGCACAAUGAGAUAGACAGCAGACCCUCAUCACCAGCAUGCAGUCUGAAUACUCCGUUAUUUGUCAACUCACACUUCUCCUUGUUAGUCUUGGUCUAAGUUAGUUAUAUUCAAAACACAGUUUUUGCGCUGCUGGUUUAAAAUCUUUUAGCCACAGUUUUAAAUCACAUUUCUAAUGAAUGAGUCCUGAAUGAAAGCUAAUUGGGAUCCAAUAUAAAAAGGCAGUGACCACCUCCACAUCGGCUUUUGUCCCCCUGAAUGAGAUGCCGCUCUUACCCGUGAUUUAAAUGUGUUUCCUGGUUGGGUGAAGCACAUCUUCGAGCCCACUAACAACCAGCAUGCUAGCUCUCGCAGCUCAUUAGCUCGGCCUCCUCUCACUCACACACAUCUUUUAGAGACUCCACACCACAGCAGGGGGACUGACUGGGAUAAAUAAGGAAUAAUCAAGGAAUCGUUCUGGCUGCGAGCUGACCUGAAUAUGAGGCUCCAUGCCAUCACUGGGAAUCAACCGGCACAGUGCUACCAUUAUAAUGAAUGGAGAGAACCGAAAAGAGAGACCUGCGGUAAAAUCACACUAAUGCUGGAGGAGGAGGUCGCUCUUUAGUGGUUGAGCUCACGCAGAGCUUGUUUUAGUACAACUCCUGCAUGCUGUGAUGUCCACCCAGAGUCUAUGUUUGGAGCAUCAUUUGGACAAACAGAAUGUGUUUUGGUUUAAAAAGCAGUCAAGGAGGGUGCAGAUGUGAGCCGUUGCAGGGGACUUGCUCUAAAAAAGUAACUCAUCCUACUCCAAGCCUUCACACUGGUGGCUGACUUAGUUUCUCAGCAGCUUCCCAGCAGCAAACAUGAAAGACAUCUGGUGCGGAGAAACCGACCAGAUGAGAGGAACAAAGAAGGAAGACGGUGAAGGGGGAAGCAAACUGAAUUUUAAUGUAACCCUUCAAAAGGUAGCAUAAAUACACACACCAGGCAUUAAAUUUAAUAGAGAUUGUGAUGAAUGAUUACAGGGAGUAAAGUGGAAAUCGAAAUUUCCUGGAAAUUCUAAAAAGUUUCACGCUGGUUUUUUAAAUUAUUUCUAUACAGAAGCAAAUCACAAACAAGUGACACAAAAAGCAGGGGUAGACCCGUGCUCUGUUACAGAGGUUUAAAUGUGGGGUAGGCAGGGUCUGAGGAAAUGCCAGUUUUUGGGAGAAAUCUUGAAUGUAAACUCUACCCCUCCCAACCAGUUUUCCUCUCCCCUCCGUCUCUGCCCCAGUAAGCCACAAACAGACGCUCCUGCUCACUCGUAUCAUUUCAAUUAUAUUCAGAUAUAAUGCAGAUAAAUACUUCAGAUAAUUACAAAUGGGGCCCAGUCAACGUGAAAGUAAAAAGCAUUGGUGCUACUGUAGCUGCUGACAGACGACCAGCAAACUCAAUGUUUGCAGGACUUCUACAACUAGGAUAAAGUGACAUAGUCCAGGACCCGAGGUCAACAGUUUAGCGGCGCUACAACACGCAGCAGGUCCAGUUUGACAAGAAACACUUCUGUCACAGACACUUGGCUUACUUUGUUAAAGAGGUUUACCUGCCCAGCAGAAAGGUUACAGGGUCUCUAAGAUCCUGAAGCAUCCCCCAUCGUAGAUGCUGAUGUUGACCCAUCUUUUCAGCUCUUGUCCGGUCUACCUCCUUUAUUUACUCUCCGGUAUUUACUUUGUUUUCUUGCUUGUGUUGGCAAGGAGAAUUCCUGCCUACCUCACCUUUAACAGGAAUCAACCAGGGUUCUUUCACCAUUUCUAAAUGUCUUUGAGAGGCUGUGUCUCUGAGGAUUUUUGCAUUUGCCACCAUGAAGCCAUCCAAAUGUAUGUUUUUCUCCAGCUAUUAACAACCUGUAGCUCAGCCUCACUGCUCACUGUGUUCCUAAGAGCUCGAUAAACUUCCAGUUUAUGUAAGACCCAUGUACCUUACUGGGCAUUCAAAGUUAAAAGGCAGUAUUUAUCGAUUACAUGAGGAAUCCUUUUAGUGCUGCACACAGGAACAGUUCGUACCUGUUUGUCCUUGAAAACAAAGCUGUUUCACCGUCUGCUUUUGUCAUUUAAGAGCACGCUUUGUCUCUUCAUUUCUUCUUUCCCUGAAAAAAACGCCUCUUAAAAAGCAGAAACCUCACACAGAUCGAUAGAUAGAGAAGGAGACAGACACAGAACAACAACGAGAGAUAAUACAGGUUUAAAGCAGCCGUGACAAUAGUGAAAGAAGGAAUUUGUUCUAUCCCAGCUCUCAUAAUUUAGUUAACUCAGUGCAUUUUCUCUUUUUCAGCCUCCUCUUGUCACAAAUUUCUCUCCAACCUGACAGGCAGGUCCUCCCAAAGUUCACAAAGCCAUGACACGUCUGUGCAGUAUCAGAUCAGGUAUCUUCCUCAACCAGGAUAAUACUUCAUGUACAGGACACUCGUUUUCUAGUCAACUUUCAGCUGAGAGCCACCGCCGCUCCCUGUCCAUCCAUCAUCUCCUGACCUUCAGUGCUGUGCCCUGACGGCUGCCCGGGGCACGGGGAGAGUGACUAAUGUGGUCUCAGCCGCCACCUCCCCGCACUAAAGGCCCCCGGUAUCCGUCCAGUAUUAUCCGACCCCGGCGUCUACAGAUUUCUAUCUCUACUCCCAGCUUUAAUUAUUCACGCUGCUGAAUCACACUCUCACCAGAGAGAUAGCCAGACUGCCUGUCCUCUCCCUCUCCCUGAUCUUAUCUACCUGGCUGUGUGACACUAUCUCAUCCUUCUAUUAUAGAUCAGAGAAGACAACUGCUGUGCUCCAAAAGUAGAGUUUUCAGUCAAUUAUAGAGCCAAGGCGAGCGAGGCUGACAUUUUACAUGUGGACAGAGGUUUAACAACAAUGACGGUCUAACAGAAGAUCCAAGAACUCUAUCUUCAUUAACAAUAGAUGUCAGUAUUAUCCAAGUAAUGUGCACAUUAGAUGGUUUAAAUGCAUCUAAAAUCUUUUGCCAUGUUUUACCAACAUAAGCAGCGAGAUUACUUAAAUUGGAUAACUGUCAAUACAAAUUAACAGUGGGGCUGCUAUCAGUGAGACAGUGUCUGAAAGUGGGCUCUCUUGCAUCUAUAUUGUAGUUUAUUCAAGUAUGGGUCCACCUAAUGAGGGUUUGCUUUAAAGGGAUAUUCUGGCAUAAAAUUAAUUUAGGGUCAAACACACUGUGACACCAAGUUAGACACCCCAUUAAGAGAUGAAUGUUGCCGACUGCUUGCUUCUCUAGUUAUAUCAACUUAAGUAACGACCGCACGAUAGCAAUACACAGCGAUCUGAGGAGCCAUAAACAAACCUCAACCAAAACGCCACUCUGUAGACACAAAUAAUGCUCAGAACAGCACCUAACUUCAUCAACGGUACAUAUAGGGUCCCAGCCACAGCACUAGCCACCAAACAUCUUUAUAGCUUUGCCUAAUUUCUUCAGCAAAGAGACUAAACACAACUCACCUGCUCUCUUCCAGCAGCUGCCUAUUUGUGGCAAGACCUCAACCACAACAGCAAUUGUCAAACUGCAACAACUCAAAAUGACAUCAGAUGGUCAAAAGUGAGUUUACUUUUUUAACACGAACAGCACAGAAUAUUUGCUUUGUUUUAGACCCUGAGAAGAAGACCAUAAAGAUCUGCAGGUAAUCUAGGAAGAGAGACGUUUAAGACAUUCACACUGUGAGUGCUAGGUGAUUGGUUUUACAUGUAAAAAUAAGACUGUAAACCUGGAAUAUGUGCUGCACAUGUAACCAUGUUAGCAUGCUAGUUCUGAAAUGUUGAAGAUGUGACCCUGAACACAGUUUUCUGUCAUAUCCUGUCUGCAGCUCUGUGAGAUAAGCCAGACUUACUGUAGUUAGAUGAAAAUCUGUUAGCUUUAAUCUGUUUCUAAGAUUUUGAAAUGUUUCCUCUGUGUGGCUCAGCUCAGACUAAAGUGUUUCUGAGCUCACUUAAAGUUGAUAAAGGUGAUCUCUAACAGCCAAAACGUGUAAAUAUCCAAAGAGCUUCAUUGGAGAAUUGGACAAACUGAGUCUGAACUGAAAUACAAGCUAACAUGCUAAAGUUAGCUUCUUUUAGUGGUAGUGCUCAUCUCCUGAGUUUGCCUACCUCUGCAGCUUCUCAGUCACGGCAGUAUUGCUCUCGAUAUGGUUUAUCAUUGUGGUCACAUGCAUCCUUCCUGUGGUGCUGGGAAUAAAAUAUCAUGACUUUCAUUACUCUGAAGACGCCUCUGCAUGCGUAAAAGCUUUUGGUUGUAUUAUCAUAAGAUAAUCCUGAAAUUUCAGUUCCACACACCCUUUCGUUCACACACCUCACCCAUAUUCAACCUCUGCGUUCCUCACGCCCCGGGCUGGGACCAUGGAUCUUAUUUCCUCCUGACAGGUCCAGGACAGAGGAGGGGAGGACGGCUCAUUUUUUGGCCACUCUGAGGAGGAUGAGGGGGGGUUGAGGAGGACACAGGAUGAGCUGCCAGAUUGACAGGCCGAUGGGGCUGUCGCUGGGGGCCGAGGUGUAGAGAUGUUCGGGGAGUUGGCGUUUGUGGCUCAAAAGAUAAGCAUCAGUGAGAAUAUGAGAGGCUAGAUGGUAAUCUUGCACAGGAAGUCAGGCUAUACCAUUGCAGAAGAAACCACAGGAGAGAGGCUGACCUUGUGCGCUUGUGCUCGGCUGCAGCGCUCUUUUAGAGGCCUCAGACUGGCUGCAGACAGGAAGGUCCUCUGACAGAUGACUGCUUGGCUGAAAUGCAAACAUUAAGGGUCUGAUCUACUUAAGGUUUGCAUGUGCAAAAACACGUACAAACUUGAUAGUGCACGCAAACCUGAUCUACUAACCAGAUGCACAGAGGAUUGCGUCUGUCAACUGAGUAAAAUACCAAGCGCAACAAUUUAUCGUGUUUGCCUUCAUGAUUAUGCAGAAUAUAUGUAGAUCAUUAGAAUCUGCAAAAUUCUGGGAGGAGCAGAUGCAAAUGGGGUCAUUUAGCACCUGCAAUGUGAUUUAUCAAAACCAGAAACCAAUUGUGGUCGCUGUUUUGUGUCUAUACUAAGCACGUUUGAAAGGCACGUGUGAACUGGCACAGCAAUAUGUGUGGUCAUUGUGGGGAGAAGGAGGCAGAAGUGCCAUGAUAGACACCACGAUUCUUGUCUAAAAGCUUUUCGUUGUUCUGGUAAAUGAUUUUCAUAAACAAUAAGGUCAAACACAGAACAGAAAAGAAAAGAUUUAUCUGUUUGUCUUAUUGAUUUAAAAAAAAUUUAUCCCUUUUUUGAUUUCUAAUAUAUUUUCUUGCAUCUGUAAAACACUUUGAGUUGCCUUGUGUAUGAAUGAUUUUAUAAACUUGCCUUGUUUGCCUUUUACGCAGUUCCCCAAAACGAUAUGUGCAACUCCACGGCUUCAAACUUCAAUUUUGGCUACGACCGCUCUGCUCUCCCAAACUCUCAAUGGUGACAGCUGAUAGCGCACGCAAAAUCCUCGUUCAAAGAGGGCGGUCCACACGACUUUUGUGCUUGUUAUCAAUUGAGCACGCACAGAUAGUAGAUCCCCCGAAACACGCCCACCUAUAGCUUGUGCAUUUUUUUUUGUUUGCAUGCGCAAUUUAGCGUUCACUAUUUGGGAUCAUGUAGUAGAUCAGGCCUUAAGAGUUUUAUGACAAUAGAGAUGGUGCUUAAAAAAGCUUGUCCUGGUACUGAUAUCCAAAUUAAUGAUUAAAACCAAAAUUUGAACUUAAUCUCUAACUUUGGGACCGUUCAUUUCUUCAGUGUUUUAGAUGAAGUCAAGGCAAAUUUUAAAACAGUUGCAGCUCAUUAAAGGGUGAAAACACAAUCAUUAUAGUUAAAAUUAUGAGAAAACAGCUAAAAUGAAGUUCCAAAACAAUUGUCAGGAUUUCAAACUUAACUGGGAUUAAAAACAAACACAGAGAUGGACUGGAGCAAAGAUUUAAAACCUUUUAGUGUGUUAUAAUAAUUAUCUUAAAAUGUUCGAAAGAUGUAUUUAUGUAGCCCACUCUUGAUAUAUUGAGAAUAUUGUAAAAAUAAAUCACAGAGACAGAGGAAAUAAAAAAAAAACCUAAAACAAUGUAAUGUGACUGAAACUAGAUCAAUUGUUCUGUUCUGUUUGACCGCAAAAGUGUUCUCCCCUCCCUGGGUUCGGAAGUUGCCUGAAAUACCGCCAGGAGUUUUUCAUCAAGUCGGAGGUCACAGUUUUUGAAGGUUGGAGAAUGAAGCUUUCAAGUCAAAUAUCACCCGUAUAAUUUCCUGGACCAGCGGCAAGGUUUAAAAUAAGAAUGAGUAAUGUUCACCAUUCUGCCCUUAAACACUGUCAGUGUGCCCUGUUCAUGGUCCAAUAAAACUCACCCUCGAAUAUGAGCCUGAAAAUAGUCUCAGCGUGACUCAGCAGAUUCCUCUUCUGCCUUAUUUUAGCCACAUUUUAACUAAUGCCACUAGAUUAAACACGAUGCCUUUAUCUGACAAGAAUUUUAUUCAUUUGUCAACAAGGAUAGAGGGUGUAAAACAAUACUAGAGAAUAUGAUAGAAUACUAUGCAAUACAAUGCCGUACCAUACGAUAUGUCAAACAAUAAUAAAUAAUAAAAGUGAUGUAAGAAAUUAUGAGAUCGCUUAUUCCUGUGUUCAUCUGGCUGAAUCACAGACCAAGAAUCGGAUACCAAAUUCUUCAGCUGACAAAAAAAUAGAGAUGGGAUGGCACUUCUGAGUUUAAAGGAUUAUUACAUUGCUGCUCAAUUAAGGCCAUUAAAAUAUAGGAGCAAUCCAGAGUACUAUUGUGCCAGAUGGAGAGAGAUUGAGGGAGCUACGACAGACAAAUCUCCAGUUCAAGCGGCAAUUGGGGACAUAAAGUUGCUGAUUUAGGAAAUUCAUGGAUUAAGGUUUUGCUUAAAUGGUGGAACAAGGUAAAAGUUCAAAAUCAUUUAAAAGAGGCUGUAAAAGUUUUGAGAUUGUGUGUUUAAUCCAGAUUUUGUGCCUAAAAGCUGGGACAUGGAUUGACUGCAUAUUGCACUUUUUUGGAUAAGGGAGUAAUGACUCACUGAAAAUUUGAGGAGGCAGUUUGACCCGAAUAAGGAUGGUUUUUACAGGUAUUUUCCAGUUCAUCAUCAUAUUAUACCCAUAUGGAAAGGAAAUCAGUGUACUGGGGUAACAUUUAUUAAAAGCCUUUAUAGAUGAAGUUGAACACAAACCAAAAACAACCUCAGGCUUUUUAAAGGUUGACUACAAAAAAAGGCAACUCAUUUUAUGCUACACGAAAAUAGGAGAGGGAACGUAACCUAGCUGUAAAUGAGGAAGAGUGGGAGAAUUUAUGUGAAAAUUCAACAGAAAACUUUCAAUUCAACAUUAUGCUGAGAGUUUUGCUGGAAAAACCUUGUGAGGUUUUUCAUUACUCCAUCCCAAAAAUGACAUUAUAACAGUUCCUCCAAAUGCUGGAGAGUGUUGGAGCCUUGAGGCAAAUCAUUUUCAUAUAUUCUGGUCUUGUGCUUCUUUGAUUCUUUUCUGGAAAGAGGUUUCGUAAAAUUUUGAGUAAAGUCUUUUAAAUACAUAUUCCAUUUGAGAUGCAUUGUCAUAUUGCCUUAUCCUCAGAAAACUUUUCCUCAAAAGACGAGUAUUUAUUCCAGAUUUUUAAGUGCUGUGAGUAAGAAAGCAAUUACAAGGAGAUGGUAGAAACCUGGAACACCCUCAGUAGAUGAUUGGAUUGACAUCAUACACCCUGACAGUUCUGUUUACUCUAUGUUCUCAUUAAGUUUUCUAGUUCUGUCUAUUUUUGGUUUCUUAUUUUGUAUUUGGCAAAAGUCCAGUGAGUUUCUUUUGAUAUGAAACUAUUUGUGAAAGAUUUUUGUUUCUCACAAACAGAUGGUAGUGAGUAUGAUGUAAGGAGAGCUUUUUAUAUGUGUGGACUAAAGAUUACAAUAAAAACAGAAUUUAAGAAAAAAUAAGAUAAUUUUAGAUAACAGAGGAUGUCCUGUAUUGUCCCUCUGUCUUAGUUACAGGUGUCUCCACAGAAUUUGAUAAAGACCUGCGCUCUUAAAAUGACCAGGAUACCAAAGAUGUGAUGAAAACGGUCUCAUCUUUCUGAGAAAACUCUGACAUUGACAGCAAAAUUGGAAGCUGAUCUUUCCUAAGUGUUUACUUUUCAUGAAAUGAAAAUAUUAAACCUCUGUUAAAUAUUACCCCGAAAGGUUAAGCUUGGGAAAACACCGUCACAAAUUGGAUUUUGGGUUCACCACCGUGUUUGAUAUGAAAAUGAAACCAGAUGAGGAUCUAAUGAAGAUGAAAAUGUCACCCUGCGUCUCUCAGAUGUUGAAAUGUCACCGUGUG
This 9115-nucleotide long non-coding RNA is filed under the name Xyrichtys novacula (pearly razorfish). Lineage: Eukaryota; Metazoa; Chordata; Actinopteri; Labriformes; Labridae. The record is from RNAcentral.